RNAcentral lists this ribosomal RNA (2029 nucleotides) under human gut metagenome. RNAcentral's name for it is "bacterial LSU rRNA". It matches the Rfam family "Bacterial large subunit ribosomal RNA", at positions 808 to 2925 of the family's 2925-position model. The record is from RNAcentral.
ACUGUGGGUAGCGGAGAAAUUCCAAUCGAACCCGGAGAUAGCUGGUUCUCCCCGAAAUAGUUUUAGGACUAGCCUCAAGUUAGAUACCUGGAGGUAAAGCACUGAAUAGCCUAGCGGCCGAGAGGUUAGCGAAGCUUAUCAAACUCAGAAUGCCAGAAUAUUGAUGCUUGGGAGUCAGACAGUGUCAGAUAAAUGUCAUUGUCAAAAGGGAAACAGCCCAGAUCUACAGCUAAGGUCCCAAAGUUAGGUUAAGUGGAAAACGAUGUGAAGAUACGCAGACAACCAGGAUGUUGGCUCAGAAGCAGCCACUCAUUCAAAGAGUGCGUAAUAGCUCACUGGUCGAGCGUCUUUGCGCGGAGAAUUUAACGGGGCUAAACCUGACACCGAAGCUUAGGCAAUACAGCAAUGUAUUGGGUAGGGGAGCGUUGUAUACGCGGUGAAACAGUAGCGCAAGCGGCUGUGGAGUGUAUAGAAGUGAGAAUGCCGGAAUGAGUAGCGCGAAUGCAGUGAGAAUCUGCAUGGCCGAAAGCCUCAGGUUUUUGGAGGAAGGUUCGUCCGCUCCAAGUUAGUCGGGAGCUAAGGUGAGGCCGAGAGGCGUAGCCGAUGCACAGACGGUAGAGAUUCCGUCACCACCGAAAGAGUUAAGCACAGGGACACAUUUGAAGUCUCAGAGCCGGGUGUUGGUUCCGGUAGAGAUCGAGGGAAGUUAGUACCGAAGUCUGAGAUGGAAGAUGGCGAGAAAAGCUGUGUGGAUUUCUGAGGUGCCCGUACCGCAAACCGACACAGGUAGGUAGGAAGAAGAUUCUAAGGCCAACGGGAGAAGGGUUGUUAAGGAACUCGGCAAAUUGACCCCGUAACUUCGGGAGAAGGGGUGCUCCAGAGAUGGAGCCGCAGAGAAUCGGCCCAAGCAACUGUUUACCAAAAACACAGGUUUGUGCUAAAUCGAAAGAUGACGUAUACGAGCUGACGCCUGCCCGGUGCUGGAAGGUUAAGAGGAGAUGUGCAAGCAUUGAAUCGAAGCCCCAGUGAACGGCGGCCGUAACUAUAACGGUCCUAAGGUAGCGAAAUUCCUUGUCAGGUAAGUUCUGACCCGCAUGAAAGGCGUAAUGAUUUGGGCACUGUCUCAACAGCCCGCCCGGCGAAAUUGUAGUACCGGUGAAGAUGCCGGUUACCCGCGACAAGACGGAAAGACCCCAUGGAGCUUUACUGUAGCCUAAUAUUGGGUUUCGAUGUUGCAUGCACAGGAUAGAUGGGACUCUGGGAAACCAGUGCUUUGGCGCUGGCGGAGAGGCCGUUGGGAUACCAUCCUUGCGAUAUUGGAAUUCUAACCUGCGGCUCUGAAUCGAGUCGGGGGACAUUGUUAGGUGGGCAGUUUGACUGGGGCGGUCGCCUCCUAAAGAGUAACGGAGGCGUUCAAAGGUUCGCUCAGCUUGAACGGAAAUCAAGCAAAAGAGUGCAAACGCAGAAGCGAGCCUAACUGCGAGACUGACGGGUCGAGCAGUAACGAAAGUUGGAGUUAGUGAUCCGGUGGUAUGUGAGUGGAAAUGCCAUCGCUCAACGGAUAAAAGUUACCCUGGGGAUAACAGGCUGAUCUCCCCCAAGAGUCCACAUCGACGGGGAGGUUUGGCACCUCGAUGUCGGCUCAUCACAUCCUGGGGCUGUAUUCGGUCCCAAGGGUUCGGCUGUUCGCCGAUUAAAGUGGUACGCGAGCUGGGUUCAGAACGUCGCGAGACAGUUCGGUCCCUAUCUGUCGUGGGCGCAGGAUAUUUGAGGAGCUCUGUCCUUAGUACGAGAGGACCGGGAUGGACGUACCUCUGGUGCACCAGUUGUCAUGCCAAUGGCACGGCUGGGCAGCUAUGUACGGAACGGAUAAACGCUGAAAGCAUCUAAGCGUGAAGCCGACUCCAAGAUUAGAUAUCCCAUCGUAUAACGAGUAAGACCCCUUGAAGACUACGAGGUUGAUAGGCUGCGUGUGUAAGUGCCGUGAGGCAUUCAGCUUGGCAGUACUAAUAGGUCGAGGGCUUGACCA